UACGUAGGUGGCGAGCGUUGUCCGGAUUUACUGGGCGUAAAGGGAGCGUAGGCGGACUUUUAAGUGAGAUGUGAAAUACCCGGGCUCAACUUGGGUGCUGCAUUUCAAACUGGAAGUCUAGAGUGCAGGAGAGGAGAAUGGAAUUCCUAGUAUAGCGGUGAAAUGCGUAGAGAUUAGGAAGAACACCAGUGGCGAAGGCGAUUCUCUGGACUGUAACUGACGCUGAGGCUCGAAAGCGUGGGGAGCAAACAGGAUUAGAUACCCCUGUA
RNAcentral lists this ribosomal RNA (269 nucleotides) under uncultured prokaryote. RNAcentral's name for it is "partial 16S ribosomal RNA". It matches the Rfam family "Bacterial small subunit ribosomal RNA", at positions 524 to 792 of the family's 1533-position model. The record is from RNAcentral.